This 229-nucleotide ribosomal RNA is filed under the name uncultured bacterium. Its description in RNAcentral is "partial 16S ribosomal RNA". It matches the Rfam family "Bacterial small subunit ribosomal RNA", at positions 524 to 752 of the family's 1533-position model. The record is from RNAcentral.
UACGUAGGGUGCAAGCGUUAAUCGGAAUUACUGGGCGUAAAGCGUGCGCAGGCGGUUUUGUAAGUCUGAUGUGAAAUCCCCGGGCUCAACCUGGGAAUUGCAUUGGAGACUGCAAGGCUAGAAUCUGGCAGAGGGGGGUAGAAUUCCACGUGUAGCAGUGAAAUGCGUAGAGAUGUGGAGGAACACCGAUGGCGAAGGCAGCCCCCUGGGUCAAGAUUGACGCUCAUGC